Molecule: ribosomal RNA, 420 nt
Filed under: uncultured Devosia sp.
Lineage: Bacteria; Pseudomonadati; Pseudomonadota; Alphaproteobacteria; Hyphomicrobiales; Devosiaceae
Description: bacterial SSU rRNA
Rfam family: Bacterial small subunit ribosomal RNA
Source: RNAcentral
GCAGCAGUGGGGAAUAUUGGACAAUGGGCGCAAGCCUGAUCCAGCCAUGCCGCGUGAGUGAUGAAGGCCUUAGGGUUGUAAAGCUCUUUCAGUGGGGAAGAUAAUGACGGUACCCACAGAAGAAGCCCCGGCUAACUUCGUGCCAGCAGCCGCGGUAAUACGAAGGGGGCUAGCGUUGUUCGGAUUUACUGGGCGUAAAGCGCACGUAGGCGGAUUGUUAAGUCAGGGGUGAAAUCCUGGAGCUCAACUCCAGAACUGCCUUUGAUACUGGCAAUCUAGAGUCCGGAAGAGGUGAGUGGAACUCCUAGUGUAGAGGUGGAAUUCGUAGAUAUUAGGAAGAACACCAGUGGCGAAGGCGGCUCACUGGUCCGGUACUGACGCUGAGGUGCGAAAGCGUGGGGAGCAAACAGGAUUAGAUAC